This is a long non-coding RNA of Oncorhynchus masou masou (cherry salmon), 3929 nucleotides long. RefSeq lists it as uncharacterized. NCBI's taxonomy places the organism in Eukaryota, Metazoa, Chordata, Actinopteri, Salmoniformes, Salmonidae. The transcript is spliced from 3 exons. The record is from RefSeq and is a predicted model, not a curated record.
CUCUCUCUCUCUCUCUCUCUCUCUCAGGAGUGCACAGAUGGUUAUGAGUGGGCUGUUCAGAGUCAGCACUGUAAAGAAGGCUGCCGAUGGGAGAUGAAGUGUUUUAACCACUAUAGCGGCUACCUGUCUCCCACGCUCUCCUGAACCUUCCAGCCGGUUAGUGGUUACCUCGCCUGUGGAGUCCUUCGAGGCCUUGAGAUUGAGUCAUCUGUGGAUCUGUUGGGGCGGUAUGCAAAUUGGAGUGGGUCCAGGCUGUCUGAGAUGAUGGUGUUGAUGAAACGAACAACAUCAGUGUGAUGAUGGUCCAGGCCCGUGCUGUGACCGGCCCCGAAGAGUACAACCUGGAGCUGGUGUCUGUCAACCCCCUCAUGAUCUAUCAGACCAGCUCUGCCCUACGACUGUCUGUCUUUGUAAAACCAUCUGAGGAGACAGAUGGAGCAAAGAGAAGGAAACGGAAAUAGAGAGUGGGAGACAGAUGUGAGAUGAGAAUAACUGUUAAGGGCAUGAGAUGGGAACAUUUCUCAGACACGUUACUACUAGACAUGUAUCUUAAAGAAAUCUGCCCGGGGCAAAGCAAGUUGUAAAACCAUUCUUCCAUAAUUCUGUGAGUCACCACAAACACACAUGCUCAUGCACACGCAUGCAGACCAGUGGCGGCUGGUGACGCUUUAAAUCGGAGGACGGGCUCAUUUGUAAUGGCUGGAAUGGAAUAAAUGGAACAUAUCAAACACGUUUUAAUACUGAUCGAUUUAUUCCGUGCCAGACAUUACUAUAUGUUGUCCUCCGUUCGCCAGCCUCCUCUGCCACACGCACACAUGGUACACUGGCACACACUGGAAUCUAGCCUCUGCAGUGUGCAUCAUAUUUUCAAUAGUUUCUUGCUGCACAAAAGACUAGCCAAGAGGGUCCAUUAUCUUGUUACCAAGGCAACUGAUAAAAACAUCCAUUCAAAGCAACCAUUUCAACCCAUGUCACACUGUUAUUUUUCUCUCCAUCAGGGUCGUUCUCCUGCUCUCCUCUCAUCCUAACUGUUCUCCAGAUAGUUCACUCUUAACUGUAAAGAAUUAAUAUUGCUUGUUCCUAUUCUGUAGUUUAAUUAUUUUAUUUUUAAACAACUUAUGGUUGUUUUGUCAUGUUACUAAAAUUAAGAGAUGAAACCAACAUUUGGAUGAAUGAUAUUCAUUUUAGUUGCUGUUCCUCUUCCAACUCCCUGCUCAUGCACACGCUUAGCCUUUCUCUUACCACCUCUUCUGCUUAAUUAAGGCCCAAUAAUGGGUUCUCUUGCUGACCAUCUUUUCUCUCUUUCAUUCACUCUGUCACGUUUGCUUAUUUCCUUUUCAGUACAAAUGCAGAUAAAUGCACUCUUUCAAAUCAAUUGACACUGCUAAUUACACUACAGUAUGUGCAGUUAAUAUAGAUUAGCAUCUUACUUUAAAUUGCCAAAUGACCCUAACAGGUUUAAACGUCACCCUAGCUACGUAUUUAAACAUCUUUUAAAUGAAUAGCCUACAGCCUAACUUAAAGGUUGGUAACAAUUGGUUUAGUCAACAAAGUCUCCUAGUUAUUUCAACCUUCUUUAUCAAUGUAAUUAUGUUGCAUCGAUGUGGCUAGUUGGUUGAAUUUGCAUGAGGUCAUCAACAUGCACAGGCGUUUGUCUCAUUUGAAUCAAGAUGUCAACCAAAAAUGAACAAUUGGGUUCAAAUGAACAAUUCAGUCACAAAUCAACCAAAUGGUUGAUCUAACGUCUUGGUGAGUCAUGUAGCUGUGUAAGGGUUCAAAUUAAUCUAAAAGUGGUUGACAUUAUAGCCCUGUUCAUACCUGGUUCUGACAUGCAGACUUUUUCUUGAUUUUCUCCACAUUCUGAUAGUGCCCACAUUUUUGGACAAAUGUAGACGAUUAAAAGAUGCAUCAUGAUCUGAUUGUGAUCAGAUCUUAGAGGUGUAAACAGACAAGAUCAGGACGAUGGACACAUGUUAACGGAAAGUAUAAACAGGAUUUAUGUGAAUCCUCCGCUGUAGAAUUGACUCUUACCUAAGACAUGAAUCAGUUAUCUGUAACCUAAAAAAAAAAUAUUUGGAGAAAUGUAUGUUAUUGUCGUGUCAUCAUAUUCAUGUUCAAAAGGUUGACAUUUUGUAAAUGUUCCACCUUAGAAUUGAUCCUUACCUAAGACAUAAUUCACAGUUUUCAUCUGUUACCUAAAUAAUUAUUUUGACAAAUGGAUGUUUUUCUCUCUUGAUCAGGUUAUUUUUCCAGCUUUGCCCCACACACAUACGGCCAUUGGACUGAAAUAGCAGUAUGUCGCCACAUAAAUGUACAUCUAGCUGAUAACCCUUAUCACUCUGGAUAAGGUUUAAGUGCCUUGCUCAAGGGCAAAAAUAGAUUUUUCACUUAGUCUGCUUUGGGACCUUUUAGUUACUUGCCCAAACACUCUUAAAUGUUAGGCUACCUGCCGCCCACAUAGUGGCACAAACAUAGAAAGCUGAAUCUGAUUCCCUUGAGUAAAAAAAGGAAUUGUUAGAGUAUUUCAGAAGAAAUCCUGGUUCACUCAAACCUUAUGUAAGAAUGUGCAGCAAAAAUUGUGUUUUUGUGUUUCAAGUUUCAUUCAUUGUGUGUAUAGGAUACAUAUGGCAUACACCGUCCAACCAAAAUGGUUACUUGCAGAUUCUUUCUCGACAAUGCAACAACAAUAAGAAAUUUAUAAAAGAUAAGAAUAUGAGAAUGCACAUGUCAGAUAACGUGUGAGUAUAUUUUGGUAUGUUUGUGCCAGAGUGUUGGGCAUUCCUCUGUGGCAUCGCCAGUGUAGGAGCUGAGAGACAGGGAGUCCAGGCACAGACGGUAUGUAGGUGGGCAGGAGAAGCAGAUGGGUGUGGGUGGUGAGUAGUACAGGGGGUCAUGUUGUCAGGGCACACCUGGGAUUGGUAGGAUUUCAUCACAGGGUGCCAUGCCAUGGGUGACAGGGGUCACACAGCAGACUCAGUCUGAGGUAGAGGGAGAGUCAAUGUACAUUAAGAUUUAGUCUGAACGUGAAUUAGCCUACCAGAAAGCACUUAAAAAUGUUAUUAUUAAUCUUGUUGACCCUGAACAAUGACUCAUUUGUAUAUGGAGCAUAAUAAUAACAUUUUUACAAUAAAUGGCUAAAUCCUCACAACAUAUUCCAGUGAUAUACUGUAGAUUCACUGCCAAUGUCUCUUAUUAACAUAUGCGACGUGAAAUAGUUUCUAGGCUUAUUUAUUCCUGUGAUUAAAUACAUUUUUUAUAUUCCCUGUCCAGAGAGGAGGAAAUUGAGCUGGGUCAGGUGGAGAGUAAUUUUCUCACCACCCCUCAUGAGUCCCUACUAAUCAUCAUUCCAUUAAGAGAAGGGCUUUGACAUAACUUAACAAAUGCAUGAAAACAAAUAUGAAUAAUCUUUCUAUUCACAUGUAAAAAGUGUAGGACAGUGUGUACGAGUGAAAAACUGAUUGUAAUGUUUAUUUUCAUUUAGCUUGUACAUAAAACAUGUAAUAUCAUUAGAGAAAAUGUAAUCACAUUAUGACAAGAGACAAAUGUGCCAUCUUUACCUGACAAAACUCUACAGAGGAGUUUUAUAUCAUUCCUCUAUACUGGAAAGAUCAUACUGUGCUCUUCCUAAACUGAUCUUAUGACGAAGAGACGACAGUGGUCCAUGUAAUCAUAUCGCUCAACAUUAAAUUGCGUUCGAUUUUCAAAAAUCGCAUUUUUACAUAUCUGACAACAUACUUUAUCUGUCAUCCACCUCUAAAUAAUAAAGUGGUUAUCACCUAACGGCUUAAAUGGUGUCUGAGAAUAAUUCAUUUCCUUAUAUCUCUAUUUGUGGACCAAUGUGGUUACUAAGUAACCACAGUGUUAUUGCCAUGGCCACAUAGAUGGAAACAAGCAAGUGACAAGUACCAUGUGCUUGAUGAAUGAAUUAA